RNAcentral lists this ribosomal RNA (497 nucleotides) under uncultured bacterium. RNAcentral's name for it is "partial 16S ribosomal RNA". It matches the Rfam family "Bacterial small subunit ribosomal RNA", at positions 28 to 507 of the family's 1533-position model. The record is from RNAcentral.
GAUGAACGCUGGCGGCGUGCCUAAUACAUGCAAGUCGAGCGAACGGACGAGAAGCUUGCUUCUCUGAUGUUAGCGGCGGACGGGUGAGUAACACGUGGAUAACCUACCUAUAAGACUGGGAUAACUUCGGGAAACCGGAGCUAUUACCGGAUAAUAUUUUGAACCGCAUGGUUCAAAAGUGAAAGACGGUCUUGCUGUCACUUAUAGAUGGAUCCGCGCUGCAUUAGCAAAUUGGUAAGGUAACGGCUUACCAAGGCAACGAUACAUACCCGACGUGAGAGGGUGAUGGGCCAAACUGGAACUGGAACACGGUCCAGACUCCUACGGGAGGAAGCAGUAGGGAAUCUUGCGCAAUGGGCGAAAGCCUGCCGGGGCAACGCCGGGUGAGUGAGGAAGGUCUUCGGAUCGUAAAACUCUGUUAUUGGGGAAGAACAGUUGUGUAAGUAACUGUGCACACCUUGACGGUACCUUAUCAGAAAGCCACGGCUAACUACGUG